Molecule: long non-coding RNA, 1130 nt
Filed under: Chrysemys picta bellii (western painted turtle)
Lineage: Eukaryota; Metazoa; Chordata; Testudines; Emydidae
Description: lncRNA (ENSCPBG00000020563.1)
Source: RNAcentral
AAUAAAACUGUUACUAAAUCCCUGGAUGGUUGAAUUGCAUCUGAUGAGCUGGAAUGAUAAAAGGUCCUGCAGGAAGACCGGCUGAUCCAGGCCAUCCUUUGUCAGGCAAGUUCCUUUUAAACUUCAACUCUGCUUGUGGGAUCAGGAUGUGUGCCUCCUGGGUGUGCUUUAAAAUGACACUUGCAUUUAAACCAAAGCAAACUAAUGAGCUAGUGGUUUAUCUUCCUGUUUCUAGAUCCAGGAGCAAGCCCCUCUUGUGGUAGGAUGUAUUCUGGCAGGACAGCGGAGGGUUUGCUGUGUCUCAGGUUGACCGAUCUCCUCCCGUAGCAGUAUGAGUUAACUUGCCAUUCUUCUGCCCCUGGCAGAACCCUAACCCUAACCCUAGAGAAGAAAGGUCGAUUCUGUGCCUCAACGUUGGCUCCAUGUCAGACUGAGUCCUAAGUGGGGUUGUGCCUUUGUACUUUCCACCGCCUUCAUUCACUUACUAAAGCUGUAGCAAAGCGCCACCUCGUGGAAAGCUGGGGCAACUGUGGAGAAUCAAAUGGUUGCUGAAUAGGGAUCCGCUGAGACACUUCAAUGUUCAAACUACUAAACUAAAUGUAGUUCUAGCUGCCUGGUGUGGGGAAAAAUAGCUUACUCCUAUAUACCCAGUACUGACUCGUGCACUGGUUGUCUGGGGCAAUAGUGGAAAUCAAGCCAUUUAAUCUAAGAGAUCUUAAUCUAUUAAUGCCUACAGCUUUCCUUUCUAUGUGGUUUAAUUCCCAUGGUAACUCCAGGCUUUCUACUAGUUAUAUUCCAAUCACAAAGACCCUCUGGGAGGUUGUAACUCAGUAAAACUCUGAGCACUGUAUCUAAUGACAGCAUCACCCAAGGAAUCUUUUAGUUAUGAUUAAAGUCAGUUUAGCCAAAACCUUUUAAAUGUGAAUAUUGCAGUUAUUUCCCCAAAGCGAAUACUGCCCUGAGGUAGCCCUUCUUUGGACUUGCAGUGUGACCUUAACCACUCAGUACCUCAAUUUAUCCACCCAUGUAAUGGGGCUAUUAGGACUUAGCUGGCUUACAGACAUUAACAUUUCUAAAGCACCUGGAACGCCUUGUAUGAAAAGUGCUAUAUAAAGGCCUGAUCCAGCUCC